AGAAAGUUAGUCUAACUAAGACAGUUGAUUUCGACUCAACAGAUCAUAA
RNAcentral lists this transfer RNA (49 nucleotides) under Threskiornis aethiopicus (Sacred ibis). RNAcentral describes it as "partial tRNA-Arg". Lineage: Eukaryota; Metazoa; Chordata; Aves; Pelecaniformes; Threskiornithidae. The record is from RNAcentral.